CAUAAAAAAUUAUUUACGUU
This 20-nucleotide small nuclear RNA is filed under the name Arabidopsis thaliana (thale cress). Its description in RNAcentral is "snRNA_07838". Lineage: Eukaryota; Viridiplantae; Streptophyta; Magnoliopsida; Brassicales; Brassicaceae. The record is from RNAcentral.